This 73-nucleotide transfer RNA is filed under the name Sandaracinaceae bacterium. RNAcentral's name for it is "tRNA-Trp". It matches the Rfam family "tRNA". From Rfam's summary of the family: Transfer RNA (tRNA) molecules are approximately 80 nucleotides in length. Their secondary structure includes four short double-helical elements and three loops (D, anti-codon, and T loops). Further hydrogen bonds mediate the characteristic L-shaped molecular structure. tRNAs have two regions of fundamental functional importance: the anti-codon, which is responsible for specific mRNA codon recognition, and the 3' end, to which the tRNAs corresponding amino acid is attached (by aminoacyl-tRNA synthetases). tRNAs cope with the degeneracy of the genetic code in two manners: having more than one tRNA (with a specific anti-codon) for a particular amino acid; and 'wobble' base-pairing, i.e. permitting non-standard base-pairing at the 3rd anti-codon position. RNAcentral also lists the same sequence under 1 other name. The record is from RNAcentral. Lineage: Bacteria; Pseudomonadati; Myxococcota; Polyangiales; Sandaracinaceae.
AGGUCAGUAGCUCAAUCGGUAGAGCAGCGGAUUCCAAAUCCGCAGGUCGUGGGUUCGAUUCCCUCCUGGCCUG